This is an RNA transcript of Populus trichocarpa (black cottonwood), 1667 nucleotides long. It is a transcript of the gene named transcription factor bHLH81, with no coding region annotated. NCBI's taxonomy places the organism in Eukaryota, Viridiplantae, Streptophyta, Magnoliopsida, Malpighiales, Salicaceae. The record is from RefSeq and is a predicted model, not a curated record. The transcript has 7 exons.
CAUGCUCUCUUUAUUACCGCAAAAGUGAAGUCCUAAAAAGAGGAAAUAUUGCUCUUCUUUUCUUUUUCUUUCACUUUCUAUAUCGAAACCCAACAAAAGAGGAAAAAAAUAUUAAAGCCUCUAAUACCCGAGUGAAGAAGCAGAUGCAACCAACACCUGCCGGAAGCAGCAACACUAGUGCUGGUGGCGGUAGCGCUGGUGGCGGUGGAGGUGGAGGGAUUGCUAGGUUUCGUUCAGCACCAGCCACAUGGAUAGAAGCACUUCUUGGAGAAGAAGAAGAGGACCCAUUAAAGCAAAGUCAGAACUUGACUGAGUUACUUACUUCAAACACACCUUCAAGUAGAGAUUCAGUGCCUUUUAAUGCUUCUAGUGCUGCUGUUGAACCGGGUUUGUUUGAACCGGUUGGUGGUUUUCAAAGGCAAAAUAGCUCUCCAACUGAUUUUCUUCGGAGUUCUGGGAUCGGAAGUGAUCAAGGGUAUUUUUCUAGUUACGGAAAUGCUUCAAAUUAUGAGUAUAUGACGCCAAAUAUGGAUGUUUCGCCUUCUGAUAAAAGAGCUAGAGAGGUUGAGUUGCAAAACCCUUCUGCGAGAUAUCCACCUCCUCCGUCGAAAGGAGAGCAAACUGGGCCUUUAAGGGCAUCUAGUUUGAUAGAAAUGGAGAUGGAUAAGCUUUUGGAGGAUUCAGUGCCUUGCAGGGUUCGUGCGAAGCGUGGCUGUGCUACGCAUCCUCGGAGUAUUGCAGAGAGGGUUCGGAGAACUCGAAUCAGUGACCGCAUAAGGAAACUUCAGGAACUUGUUCCAAAUAUGGAUAAGCAAACAAACACUGCUGAUAUGUUAGACGAGGCUUUAGCGUAUGUUAAGUUUCUUCAAAGGCAGAUUCAGGAACUCACGGAACAGCAAAGAAAAUGCAAAUGCAUAGCUAAAGAAUAACAGAGGGAAUGAAUUGACAGGGACACUGCCAGAAGCUUUCGCGCAGCUACUGGAUCUUACUAUACUAUAUUUGAGCGGGAACAAACUCACAGGUGCAGUUCCCCAUAAUCUCAAGGAAAAGUCUAACUUUGGAUGUUUGCAGCUAAGGUUUGUUUAUCAUUUUCAACGAUUACAACUUAUCUGCAUGUUAAUCAAACAAUCAUUCUAUUCCUUUGGUUCUUCUCCAACUUCUUUUCUUACAUAUGAAGUGAACACUGUUUUUUUCAUUGAUCGAAACUAAACGUUAAGGAACAAAGAGGGGUCACAAAAUAGAUUAUACAAAUCCAUUUUCUCUGAAUGUGAGUACGAGUUUAAGGAAUUAAGUAACUGAUACAAUUCUUCGGUAUAUUUCACGGUGAUCUUGCUAACUUUCAAAAGCUAAGCAUGAUCACUCUGAUUGAGUUAUUUGUUACUGGUAUAUAACCAUUAAUUCUCUGUUACAUCUGACAAUAUUUUAUAUAAUGCCAGUUUGGAUCGAAAUCUGUAUUUAUGCAAGAUGGAUGCAUGUGAAAAGAAGCAGCAAAGUCUUCUUGUUCCAGUUAUUGCAUCUGUCAUAUCAGUUUCGAUGCUCCUCCUUCUGAGUGUUAUAGCUAUAUAUCUUCUAAAGGUUGAAAAGACAUGAAUUCUUUCUCAAUAUGAGAUAUCAGAUGAUUCUAUUAGUAUACGUAUAUCUUAUAUGUAAGCUCUUCAGUUUCUUCA